GUCCUAGCCGUAAACGUUGGUCACUAGGUGUUGGACCCCUAAUAAGGAUUCAGUGCCGCAGCUAACGCAUUAAGUGACCCACCUGGGGACUACGGCCGCAAGGUUGAAACUCAAAGGAAUUGACGGGGCCCGCACAAGCGGUGGAGUAUGUGGUUCAAUUCGACGCAACGCGAAGAACCUUACCUGGGUUUGACAUCCCGGCGAAAGCCCAAGAGAUUGGGUCCUCUCGCAAGAGACGGCGGACAGGUGCUGCAUGGCUGUCGU
RNAcentral lists this ribosomal RNA (264 nucleotides) under uncultured bacterium. RNAcentral's name for it is "partial 16S ribosomal RNA". It matches the Rfam family "Bacterial small subunit ribosomal RNA", at positions 793 to 1055 of the family's 1533-position model. The record is from RNAcentral.